RNA transcript from Cydia pomonella (codling moth), 6312 nucleotides. It is a transcript of the gene named spermine oxidase-like, with no coding region annotated. The record is from RefSeq and is a predicted model, not a curated record. Lineage: Eukaryota; Metazoa; Arthropoda; Insecta; Lepidoptera; Tortricidae. The transcript is spliced from 2 exons.
UUGACAUUCGAACGUGAUUUAGCUAUUAAUAAUAUUCAAAAAAUUGUAGACUGUUCGAAUAAUGCAGCCGAAUUUCGAGUUCGAGUUAAAGAGUUAGCCUCAAUUAAAAAAUCAUUUUUCCAAGUUCAAGCGAAAAUUGAAAAAUUAUCGGCUAAGAAUGAGUCAUUCAACCGCGAUGAUAAUUUAUCUGUGAGAAAUAAAUUCGAUUCUUUGUACUUUAAGGUCCAAGUUGCCUUAGAUACGCUUAAGGAGGAGCGUAAACAAAGCAUUACGUCCGUCUGCGGCGGAUUUAAUGGGGUGUCACAUGCGAGUUGCUGCGCUCAGCAAUCAAAUCAAUCGCAUAUUCGUUUACCGCGAUUAUCGCUUCAAACGUUCACAGGUGUUCUAACUGAAUGGAAUGCUUUCUAUGAUUUAUUUAAAUCACUUGUACAUGACAACGUCACUUUAACAAAUGUCGAACGCUUCCGGUAUUUGUUAUUGUUUUUAAAAGAUGAACCGUAUAAUCUUAUCAAAUCGAUUCCUGUUACGGAUUCUAAUUACGAAAAUGCCUUACAGGUAUUAAUUUCGCGUUAUGAAAACAAACGAAUUAUUUCAAAAAAACACUUUGACAACAUUUUUGACUGUGAGUCAGUUAACGAGAAAAAUGUUGAAUCAAGUUUACGUAACUUGAUGAAUUGUUAUCACGAGAAUAUUACAGCUUUGAAAUCAUUAGGUUUACCAGUUGACGACUGGAGUUUCGUACUUUUAAAUAUUUUGCUACGCAAAAUCACACCUCAUAUUCGUAGACGUUUUGAAUUAUCAUUAAAAACUUCAUGUGAAAUUCCUGACGUUACCGAACUACUCGAUUUCCUCGAUAAGGAACUAGCGGCAUCUGAAGUGAUGACCGCGUACGCGUGUACUUCAAGUACAUCCGCGGGGCCUGCGCAGCGCGCGGCGCCCGCGCUCGCUGCUGCUGGCGGAGCGGCCGGCUCGGCCCGGUCAGCUGCGGUGACGUCAUCGCGCCAUGCUUUGGCGGGAAAGCGUGCGAUGUCUCUUACUCGCGCGCACUCCGACGUGCAAUAUAAUGCACCGCGCAAUAAUAACUCUUCGUUUGCGCGUAACUCGCGUACUAUGAGUGUACAUGCUACAACUGCGGUGGAUUAUUUAACUAAAAUUAAAUGCGCGUAUUGUAAGGACAAUUCACAUCCUUUAUAUAAAUGCGAGAAGUUUAAUACGCUCACUUUAAAGGAACGAAAACAUUUCGUGGAACAAAAUAAACUUUGUACCAAUUGUUUAUUUAUUGGCCAUGAUGCUAAAGACUGCAAGUCGCGCCAUACUUGCCGCGUCUGCACUCAAAGGCAUCACUCUUCAUUACAUGAAGAUGCGCCCACUCCAAACGUCUUACUGACUACGGAGUCUUCGUCUUCCCCUGAGUUGCGCUCAGUAGCGGAAACCUAUAUGCCCACUCCAUUACAUGGAGCUAUGGAGCACCCUUCCAGUAAGAACUGUACGGUCUUACUCACGACUGCGCUUGUACAUUUACGACCCCUAAACCAGGGGCCUUACACGCCGCGGUCCGUUCGCGCCCUUGUGGACCAAGGAGCGCAGACCACGCUCAUUUCUGAGUCGUGCGUCCAACGUCUCGGCCUGCCGCGGUACUCCGCGCAGACGAGUACCACUCUCACCGGCAUUGGUGGCGAAGUCCAACCACGUGGUUACGUGUUGUGCGAGGUCACGCCUCACAACAAACCCGAGCCGAAGCUUCACAUCGAAGCUCUUAUCUUACCUAACCUUACAAGCUACACUGCUAAUAUUCCUAGAUCAAUUGGGGAUAUUCAGAAGUUCCCACACCUACAAAAUCUUGAUUUAGCGGACCCAGAACUGCGCUCGACGCGGCCCGUUGAACUGCUACUGGGAUCUGACUAUCUGGAUAGCAUACUACUACUGGACAAUAUCAAGGGUUCACCGGGCACACCCGUGGCCAUCAACAGCAUUUUUGGUUAUAUGUUAGGUGGUAGAAUUUCAUAUGACAGUAUGAAACGACUUAGUGUCAACUUGAGUACUUGCCAACUUGACAUGAAACUUCAAAAGUUCUGGGAAUUGGAAUCCAUACCAGAACAUCCACAUCUUACAAAAGAAGAACUGCGCUGUGAGUCUAUCUUCGUUGAUACUCACAGACGAGAUGCAAAUGGGAAAUAUACAGUUUCCCUACCCUUCAAGGAGAAUGCUCCGCCAUUGGGCGAUUCUCGUGCUAUAGCUCUCUCACGCUUAACUAAACUAGAGGCACGCCUGUCUCGCGACCCUGCCUUAAGUGAGAACUAUAAUAAAUGUAUCCAAGAAUAUUUAGACUUGGGACAUAUGGAGCCAGUCAUUGACUCAGCGAGUCCUGGCACUCCCCCCUACUACCUACCCCACCACAUUGUGGUGAAGGGUUCCGCAUCCACUACGAAGUAUCGCAUUGUGUACGACGCUUCAUGUAAAACUACAUCAGGUCGUUCUCUUAACGAUAAUCUUCUCACUGGUCAGAAAUUGCAUCAGGACAUUUCUGAAAUUUUACUGAAGUAUAGACUUCAUAAAAUCGUCUUUACGGCUGAUCUCAAAAUGAUGUAUCGCUACAUUGGUCUUUGUAAGGAACACCGUGACUUUCAUCGGAUUCUUUGGAGAUUCUCUCCCCAUGAUCCCGUCAAGGAAUAUCGUAUGUGCUCUGUCACAUUCGGCGUCGCUUCCGCGCCUUUUCUAGCCUUGCGCACACUUCGUCAAUUAGCAAUUGAUGAAGCUGCUAACUUUCCACUUGCCUCGCAAGUACUUCUUAACGAAGUAUUCGUUGAUGAUGUCGUUACUGGAGUUGAUACGGUUGAAGAUGCUGUCACUCUUCAACAUCAGCUACUUUCCAUUUGUAAAGCAGGAACGUUCGAACUCCGCAAAUGGACCAGUAAUAGUGCUGAGUUCUUAUCGCAUUUAAAUGAUGAGGCUUCCAAUCAUGAUGACGCUCUUAUUCUGUCAGCACUUGACACUGACACUUCUGUCAAGGUCUUAGGGCUCAAGUGGAACCCUAAAUCUGAUAUUUUCACCUACCAAACGGAUGGAGUGGCUAACUCGCGCAAAUGUACGAAACGUAUAAUGCUAGCAGAAAUCGCUAAAAUUUACGAUCCCCUCGGAUUCCUAAGUCCAGUGACGGUAUUUGUAAAGCAUUUAAUCCAACUUUUAUGGGUAUCAGGCUCAGGUUGGGAUUCUGCCUCUCCACAGGGUAUCUGUGACUUGUGGUUUCGGUUCAUCGACGAAUUGCCGUUAUUGCAAGACAUCGCGUUACCUCGUCACGUGCUUCCGAGUACACAUCAAGUGUCACUUCAUGGCUUUUCAGACGCCUCUGAAAAGGCGUACGCCGCCUGCGUCUAUAUUCGUGUCGUUGACUCGAAUGGUGCUAUCAGCACCCACCUUCUCAUGGGCAAAACAAAAAUUGCGCCUUUGAAACGGCUUACUAUCCCGAGAUUGGAACUAUGCGCUGCUCAUCUACUGUCAAAAUUGAUAAAAAAGGUCCUCACUGCUUACAGCAGUAGAUUGUCUUUCGACCAAGUUUACGCUUGGUCCGAUUCCACUAUAACUCUUGCCUGGUUACGUUCAUCUCCAGACAAGUGGCGGACAUACGUGUCUAACCGCAUAGCGGAGACAACAAGCAACGUGCCUGCCUCACAGUGGCACCACGUUCAAUCCGCAGACAACCCCGCAGACCCUGCGUCUCGUGGUGUCCUCCCAUCUCAGUUGAACCAUCAACUAUGGUUCACGGGACCAGCUUGGCUCAGUAAAAAUGAGUCUGAGUGGCCUAAGACUAACGUCGUAUGUCACACCGACGAAGAACGUCGUAAGCAUGUUCUUGUCACACAAACCAAAGAACCUAAUAAUUUAGAGUUCAUUGAAAGAUUUUCAUCGCUUCCAAGGAUGCUACGCGUCAUUUCGUAUAUGUUACGAUUUAUAAAUAAAUGUCGUAAGGCGAACAGUCCGACGACUAAAUAUAUCACGGUUCCUGAGACAAAACAAGCUCUCAGUCGAAUUAUAUCACUUGUUCAAAGUGACUAUUUCUCCGAAGACAUCUCGCGUCUCAAGGACGAUGAUAGAUGUACAAAACGUCUUCAGAAACUGAAACCUUUCUUGGACGAUGCCGGACUUCUCAGGGUCGGCGGCAGAAUAAAUCGGGCCAAUGUUCCGUAUGAUGCCAAGCAUCAGAUUUUGUUACCCAAGAAACAUCACUUCACGAAUCUUCUCAUUGAUUACUAUCAUAAAACACAUUUACAUGUGGGACCUCAAACUUUGCAGUUUGCCCUCGCACAGACCUACUGGAUCCUGUGUGCUCGCGAUGCUGUACGUAUGCGUACACGACGCUGCGUAUCUUGUGUUCGUGCACGACCUGUUGCACCACAGCCAUCCAUGGCUCAGUUACCUACUACUAGGGUUCGAUCACUUCGUCCCUUCUUAAAUACUUCCGUUGACUUUGCAGGACACUUCUUCCUUAAAUCAAGUAAACUUCGUAACACGAAAGUUUAUAAAUCAUACGUAUGCGUGUUCGUUUGCCAAUCAACGAAAGCAAUCCAUUUGGAAUUAGUUCCCGAUCUUUCAACCGAGUCUUUUCUAAACGCAUUGCGUAGGUUCAUAUCCCGACGCGGGUAUUGCAAAACAAUCCGUUCUGACUGCGGACGGAAUUUCGUAGGUUGUGACAGGUAUCUUUCCGAACUUUACACGUUUCUGCGAAACGAGUCAAAUCAGACUGCUAUAAACAACCAGCUGACAAACAUGCAAAUCACCUGGCAGUUUAAUCCUCCAUAUGCUUCGCAUUUUGCCGGUCUCGUCGAACGAGCCGUAGGUAGUCUGAAACGACACUUACAUCGUGUCAUAGGUACACUAAAACUAACUCAGGACGAAUUUAACACUUUGAUUUGUCAAAUUGAAGCGGUAUGUAAUUCAAGACCUCUGUGUCUACUUAGUAAUGAUCCUACUGAUCCAUUACCCCUGACUCCUGGACAUUUCCUCAUCGGGGAACCAUUAACGUCUUUACCUGAAUUUGACUUGUCUAACGACAACCCAAACCGCCUCGCUAGAUGGCAGGUUAUUCAACAAGCUGUUCAACAUUUUUGGAAACGCUGGAGCGUAGAAUAUUUACACCAGCUACAACCAAGAGGUAAAUGGUUCCACGACAAUACUAACACACCCCUUCGGGAGGGUUCUGUAGUAGUGUUGAUAGACAACACACUGCCACCACUGCAAUGGCGUCUCGCGCGCGUGCAUCAACUGCAUCCCGGCGCCGACGGUAUUACCAGAGUCGUAACUGUACGCAUCGGUAAUACUCUUACCAAGCGACCUGUAGUUAAGGUCUGCCCCCUGCCUGUUGAAUAGGCAUCACUUAGGUUAGCAUUACAUGUUUUAGUCCUAAGUUAGCAUAGUAGUUCUUAAAUAAAAUAAGUAUUAUUUUAUGGUCGGCGGCAUGUUCGGUACUUUUGUAUAUGUACGCACAAAUACUACGUAUUUUCGUUUAUUAUUUUAAAAUCAAUUAAUAUUCAUGGACUAGCAUAUUCCAAACGGGAUAAGCCUGAAACGGAACGCUUUUCUCAAAGCGCGCAACACCGAAGCUCGAGUGUUGCCAUCCUCUCUUGCCAACGAUCUCCAAAUCGAAACGCGCGAUAUCUGCUCGCUCCGUCGAAGCUUGAGUCGAAAAACCCAAAAUCAAAUUGACACAGUGUACAGCAUAAAUAGAAAUCGUCUCCCGACGCCAGCCUGUGAGAUUACGACAUUUCACCAUCGAAGGAACCAAACCAGCCAGGGGCCCCUGAGAAAGUUGCAGACCACGUCACAGGGAGAAAAGGACAGCGGCAAAAACUCCAUAUUGUUGUGCGAAAAGAGAAAGGCGGACGACACAGACAUCAACAAAGACUUGAAAAAGGUAAGUUUUAUAAUUAUUACGUUACAAGUUUUUCUAUGCUAUGCUAAAAAGUCAAGAAUAUACAUUAAAAAAUCUGAAGAUCCACUUAAGACUAAAAUUGAUGAAUCCAGUGUUGAUUCUGUCGGAUUUUGGGUUUGUCGUGUAUUCUGAAAUCCGUACUUAAUGAGAAAAUCUUAAGAAGAUUACCGUACCUAUCAUAAAAUAAUGCGCUAAGUGCGGGAAAAAUGUAUGAGAUAGACCGAAUGUACUAUCCUGGAUUAUUAACCUAUAAUAUAUGUAGUGCUUUCACCAAAAAUUAAGCCUCAAAUACUUCAGGUUUAAAAAAAUGCGAACAAAGAAAAAAUAUUUUUAUUUUAUUACAGCCAAAGUGCUAAUCCGACGUCUUUGUAAUUUGGAUAUGUUGU